UCGAUUCCCUUAGUAGCGGCGAGCGAAACGGGAAGAGCCCAAACCAACAAGCUUGCUUGUUGGGGUUGUAGGACACUCUAUACGGAGUUACAAAGGACGACAUUAGACGAAUCAUCUGGAAAGAUGAAUCAAAGAAGGUAAUAAUCCUGUAGUCGAAAAUGUUGUCUCUCUUGAGUGGAUCCUGAGUACGACGGAGCACGUGAAAUUCCGUCGGAAUCUGGGAGGACCAUCUCCUAAGGCUAAAUACUCUCUAGUGACCGAUAGUGAACCAGUACCGUGAGGGAAAGGUGAAAAGCACCCCGGAAGGGGAGUGAAAUAGAACCUGAAACCGUGUGCUUACAAGUAGUCAGAGCCCGUUAAUGGGUGAUGGCGUGCCUUUUGUAGAAUGAACCGGCGAGUUACGAUUUGAUGCAAGGUUAAGCAGUAAAUGUGGAGCCGUAGCGAAAGCGAGUCUGAAUAGGGCGUUUAGUAUUUGGUCGUAGACCCGAAACCAGGUGAUCUACCCUUGGUCAGGUUGAAGUUCAGGUAACACUGAAUGGAGGACCGAACCGACUUACGUUGAAAAGUGAGCGGAUGAACUGAGGGUAGCGGAGAAAUUCCAAUCGAACCUGGAGAUAGCUGGUUCUCUCCGAAAUAGCUUUAGGGCUAGCCUCAAGUGAUGAUUAUUGGAGGUAGAGCACUGUUUGGACGAGGGGCCCCUCUCGGGUUACCGAAUUCAGACAAACUCCGAAUGCCAAUUAAUUUAACUUGGGAGUCAGAACAUGGGUGAUAAGGUCCGUGUUCGAAAGGGAAACAGCCCAGACCACCAGCUAAGGUCCCAAAAUAUAUGUUAAGUGGAAAAGGAUGUGGCGUUGCCCAGACAACUAGGAUGUUGGCUUAGAAGCAGCCAUCAUUUAAAGAGUGCGUAAUAGCUCACUAGUCGAGUGACACUGCGCCGAAAAUGUACCGGGGCUAAACAUAUUACCGAAGCUGUGGAUUGUCCUUUGGACAAUGGUAGGAGAGCGUUCUAAGGGCGUUGAAGCAUGAUCGUAAGGACAUGUGGAGCGCUUAGAAGUGAGAAUGCCGGUGUGAGUAGCGAAAGACGGGUGAGAAUCCCGUCCACCGAUUGACUAAGGUUUCCAGAGGAAGGCUCGUCCGCUCUGGGUUAGUCGGGUCCUAAGCUGAGGCCGACAGGCGUAGGCGAUGGAUAACAGGUUGAUAUUCCUGUACCACCUAUAAUCGUUUUAAUCGAUGGGGGGACGCAGUAGGAUAGGCGAAGCGUGCGAUUGGAUUGCACGUCUAAGCAGUAAGGCUGAGUAUUAGGCAAAUCCGGUACUCGUUAAGGCUGAGCUGUGAUGGGGAGAAGACAUUGUGUCUUCGAGUCGUUGAUUUCACACUGCCGAGAAAAGCCUCUAGAUAGAAAAUAGGUGCCCGUACCGCAAACCGACACAGGUAGUCAAGAUGAGAAUUCUAAGGUGAGCGAGCGAACUCUCGUUAAGGAACUCGGCAAAAUGACCCCGUAACUUCGGGAGAAGGGGUGCUCUUUAGGGUUAACGCCCAGAAGAGCCGCAGUGAAUAGGCCCAAGCGACUGUUUAUCAAAAACACAGGUCUCUGCUAAACCGUAAGGUGAUGUAUAGAGGCUGACGCCUGCCCGGUGCUGGAAGGUUAA
RNAcentral lists this ribosomal RNA (1649 nucleotides) under Staphylococcus aureus. RNAcentral's name for it is "partial 23S ribosomal RNA". It matches the Rfam family "Bacterial large subunit ribosomal RNA", at positions 231 to 1880 of the family's 2925-position model. Lineage: Bacteria; Bacillati; Bacillota; Bacilli; Caryophanales; Staphylococcaceae. The record is from RNAcentral.